Liolophura sinensis is the source of this 229-nucleotide long non-coding RNA. RefSeq lists it as uncharacterized. Lineage: Eukaryota; Metazoa; Mollusca; Polyplacophora; Chitonida; Chitonidae. The record is from RefSeq and is a predicted model, not a curated record. The transcript is spliced from 3 exons.
AGUUUUUGUUGUACCUCCUGGUUCCCCCGGUGACCCCGGAGCCUUAACCGGCCCCCUGGCGGGCGGCAUCUCUGGAGCUAUCGUUUUAAUGGGAGUUGUGCUUCUAGUUGUGGUCAUCUUACGUAGGCGAAAGCAAGAAAACAGUUCCUCAGGAGAAACAGAGAAGAUGAGACCGGAUGCUGUAUCAAGUGAUGUGCAAUCAGCCAGACAUUAUGAAAACGUUGCAGGU